RNAcentral lists this ribosomal RNA (460 nucleotides) under uncultured bacterium. RNAcentral's name for it is "partial 16S ribosomal RNA". It matches the Rfam family "Bacterial small subunit ribosomal RNA", at positions 338 to 795 of the family's 1533-position model. The record is from RNAcentral.
CCUACGGGAGACAGCAGUGAGGAAUAUUGGUCAAUGGACGAGAGCCUGAACCAGCCAAGUAGCGUGAAGGAUGACUGCCCUAUGGGUUGUAAACUUCUUUUAUAUGGGAAUAAAAUGUUCCACGUGUGGGAUUUUGUAUGUACCAUAUGAAUAAGGAUCGGCUAACUCCGUGCCAGCAGCCGCGGUAAUACGGAGGAUCCGAGCGUUAUCCGGAUUUAUUGGGUUUAAAGGGAGCGUAGGUGGAUUGUUAAGUCAGUUGUGAAAGUUUGCGGCUCAACCGUAAAAUUGCAGUUGAAACUGGCAGUCUUGAGUACAGUAGAGGUGGGCGGAAUUCGUGGUGUAGCGGUGAAAUGCUUAGAUAUCACGAAGAACUCCGAUUGCGAAGGCAGCUCACUGGACUGCAACUGACACUGAGGCUCGAAAGUGUGGGUAUCAAACAGGAUUAGAUACCCCAGUAGUC